Molecule: long non-coding RNA, 2706 nt
Filed under: Numida meleagris (helmeted guineafowl)
Lineage: Eukaryota; Metazoa; Chordata; Aves; Galliformes; Numididae
Description: lncRNA (ENSNMEG00000020822.1)
Source: RNAcentral
UUUUAUUCCAUUUUCCUCUAAGUCUGUUAUCUUCAAGGAUUUCUGUUAGAAUUGGUACCUGAAGAGAGUGAAUAAAUUUUUUACAUUUGCUGUAAUUUUUUUCAAAGCGUUAGUGCAUAACAAACCUACUACAAUAGAAAAUGUCUUUAAAGAAUAGUAGUUUGCUUGCAGACCGAGCAGCCCCUGAGGUAAGGCAGUCAAGGCUUCUGUCACAGCAAGAGAUGCUGCUGUAUUUACUGAAAUAUAGAUGAUCCUGUAAGAAACUUUUAACUAUUUAGGAUAAAUAAUUGCCUGUAAGCUGUUGUAAUGUGGUUUUAAGGACUGCUUUUCACAGCGCAGAGUCCCAAAGUACUGCAUUGUGACAGUAAUUCCGGGCAGAUUCGGAAUGGAUCGGCUCACCUUGGGAUUUGGAAUGUGUUGGUUGUGGAGAGCCUCUCUGAGCUCACGAGGAUGUUUUCUUGAUGGUUAUGGCUGCAGGGAUUCUCACUGCUUGGAAAACAUGAGGACGGGGACCAAGAAUCUUUUCGCUCAGUCUUCUGAGGAAAGUUUGGUUCGGGUACAAAAAGAAAGCAAGGAGAGGGGCAAGCUCCAUCCCAUCGCACAAAUGAUCUCUACGUGGAGCUGGAAGAGUAACAAGGGCUGCUUCAGCUGGUGGGAGUACAGUAUCCUUCCUGCCCCAGCACCAGUCAGAGGCAUGUGCUGUGAGCUUUGGGGUGUGCUGAUCCAAUGGAGGAAGCGACCGACCCCGUAUCCCACCUCCUGCAAGUGAUGCAAGAGAGGAGUGAGGUAAGCAAAGGGGAGAAUUAGAAAGCCAGCUGGCUGUGGGAUGGCUAUCCUCCAAGUGUGUAUUUUCCAUGGCACCUGCAAGCUUUCUUUGUAAAAGACCGAGCUCAUUGCAUUAAAUUUGAAGCAAUUGUAGGAGACAUGUGACUAUGGAUCUGAAUAUUUUUUGCAUUGCUUUGCUCUUGCAAUUAACUUGUUGGCAUAAAAGUCAUUAUCCAAUGACAUCUGGGAACAAAACAAAGCAUUAUCUGGGACAAAGAACUCCUGCCCAUCUUUGGAGCAGCCAUGGAGACAAACACUUACCUAGUUUCGUGCAAACAACCUGAUCACUUUUUUGGCAAUUGAAAUCAGCUGGCAUCAUCACAGUGCUUCAUAUUGCAUCCUGACUCCAAAGGUUGAUAAGUUAUAAAUGCUGGAGUCAAACGUGACCUAAUGCAGGCCUCCUGGAGCUGGGAAAAGCUUGCAAUAUUUCAACCACAGCAGGUGUAUUCUGUAAGCCUUUAUUAAAAACUGCUGCCACACACACCUCCAACAUGUGAUGGGGUCUUAUGCAGAUUAAAUCUGACAUGCUAUGGAGUCACUACAACCUUUUUCUUGCUCCUAAUUAAAGGAAAGAAAGCCAAAAAAAAGGAUGAAGUACUUCUAAAUGUGAGGCAGGUGGGCAGAAAUGAUUGUGCUGCGUUUGGCAGUCACUGGGCCUGAAGUUCACAAGAUGGGGAAGGUGCUUGACCUACUGCUCUUCCUGCUUGUGUGUCUAAAUUAAAUUGUAGGCUUUCUGUGAAAGGUAACUGACAUUGUUUAAUUAAAAGCCUCUCUUCUCUUCUACCUGUACUUCUAAUUCCCGUGCAGUGUGUGGGCACACGGUGCUUUGUCUUCUCAGGGUAUAAUUAGACUCAGUAAUGCAGCUGUCCUGUUUACAGUGCAAAUCCCUAUAUUGAUAAAUGGAGUAGAGUUAUGGAGAAACCCUGAUGGUACUUCAGACAGGGAGAGUGGAUGAUCUUUGCAAAUAGCUGGUGGGUAGAAAGUAAAUCAUUAUCUGCUAAUAAGGCUCUGAUUGCUGGCUGUUUUAUAGCAGGGAAGAUUAGAAGACUUGACUUUGCUUUGUGUUAGUCGUGGGCACGUACAGGGAGCACGUGGUUUGUUGACAGGCAAAAUCCUGAACUUGUGCUGUGAAUCUCUUUGAGAGCUCAUCCAACGUCAGAAGCCUUUUGGUGGUGCUGGUGCCAAGUGCUUUAGAAGUGGCUGGUCACAAGGAAUGGGGGGCAGCAGGUUUAGCUCUCCGAGUCCUGACUCAGAUGUGAGGCCCUGUGUUAAGCACCUGUCACCAAAUAACAGGAGACUCUGUGUCCCAGUGUACCUCUAGGUGAUGGAGUGAAUCAAGUCUGGGAGCGAGACCAUGCCGUUACCCUGGUGCUCAGGUGUGGGUCUGGAUCCUGAGGAGAGCAGAGGACUGACUGCAGCACUGAGUGCUCAGAGGGACUGAGGAGGGGAGGUCACUUCAGCUGUCAGAUUGCACAUAGCAGAGGCUGCUCAGCGGGGAAGAGAUGGGGAACAUAUGGUGUGGUGGGAGGAGGUGACAGUGGUACUGAAGAGUAAGAAAUUAUAAUAAGAAGCAAACUUUUGGUAGGGUGCCGACCUAGGAAAUGUUGCAGCAGAGGGCAGGAACUGGUGCAGAAGGUGGCUGCGUGCGCAGAGGAAUCAAAGUGUGUAAGGAGCUAUGGGAGCUAUGAACAGGGAUGAGCCUUGAAAGAGAAACUUGGGUAGUGCAGUCAGCUUCCAUCAUGCUCAUAUUUCUCAUGGCAUAUGUCAGCCACUGAAUUUCUGAUGUGAAUUAGAAGAGCAUUUUGAAAGCUCGAUGAUCUGUGCCCAUAUGUUGCUCCCUGAAGGAAUAAAAGUUGGGGACCUCUGCUGGUUCUGAACUUG